Molecule: transfer-messenger RNA, 359 nt
Filed under: Salifodinibacter halophilus
Lineage: Bacteria; Pseudomonadati; Pseudomonadota; Gammaproteobacteria; Salinisphaerales; Salinisphaeraceae
Description: Standard tmRNA
Rfam family: transfer-messenger RNA
About the family: Bacterial tmRNA, also known as 10Sa RNA or SsrA, is named for its dual tRNA and mRNA-like properties.
Source: RNAcentral
GGGGGCGAUUUGGCUUCGACGCGGAUGUCAACGCCCAAGGUGCAUGCCGAGGUCGCGACUCACCUCGUAAAACCAGUUGCAAUUAAAGCUAGUUGCAAACGACGACAACUACGCCGUAGCGGCAUAAAACCCGCUGCUGCCCAUCCGGCAAGUGUCUGUACUUCUGGAACCGGGUAUCGACUCUUACAGACUCGCGAUAAAGCCCCACUCCGGGCCGAUUCGUUAAUAGUAAACGGAGGUAAGCCAACGCGGUCCCUGUUCGCCGGGCAACGUUGGCCGACAACCGAAGGCGAAAUAAGCAUGUAGACCCGAGGGUGGCGAAUCCGUGGACGCGGGUUCGAAUCCCGCCGCCUCCACCA